This 250-nucleotide ribosomal RNA is filed under the name uncultured prokaryote. RNAcentral's name for it is "partial 16S ribosomal RNA". It matches the Rfam family "Bacterial small subunit ribosomal RNA", at positions 524 to 773 of the family's 1533-position model. The record is from RNAcentral.
UACGGAGGAUGCAAGCGUUAUCCGGAUUUACUGGGUGUAAAGGGAGCGUAGACGGCUUGGCAAGUCUGAAGUGAAAGCUCGGGGCUCAACCCCGGAACUGCUUUGGAAACUGUCAUGCUAGAGUGCAGGAGAGGUAAGCGGAAUUCCUAGUGUAGCGGUGAAAUGUGUAGAUAUUAGGAGGAACACCAGAGGCGAAGGCGGCUUACUGGACUGUAACUGACGUUGAGGCUCGAAGGCGUGGGGAGCAAAC